AUUGAACGCUGGCGGAAUGCUUUACACAUGCAAGUCGAACGGCAGCACGGACUUCGGUCUGGUGGCGAGUGGCGAACGGGUGAGUAAUACAUCGGAACGUGCCCAGUCGUGGGGGAUAACGUAGCGAAAGCUACGCUAAUACCGCAUACGAUCUACGGAUGAAAGCGGGGGAUCGCAAGACCUCGCGCGAUUGGAGCGGCCGAUGGCAGAUUAGGUAGUUGGUAGGGUAAAGGCCUACCAAGCCGACGAUCUGUAGCUGGUCUGAGAGGAUGAUCAGCCACACUGGGACUGAGACACGGCCCAGACUCCUACGGGAGGCAGCAGUGGGGAAUUUUGGACGAUGGACGCAAGUCUGAUCCAGCCAUUCCGCGUGCAGGAUGAAGGCCCUCGGGUUGUAAACUGCUUUUGUACAGAACGAAAAGGCUCUGGUUAAUACCUGGGGCUCAUGACGGUACUGUAAGAAUAAGCACCGGCUAACUACGUGCCAGCCGCCGCCGUAA
Molecule: ribosomal RNA, 500 nt
Filed under: uncultured bacterium
Lineage: Bacteria
Description: partial 16S ribosomal RNA
Rfam family: Bacterial small subunit ribosomal RNA
Source: RNAcentral